RNAcentral lists this transfer RNA (57 nucleotides) under Loxodonta africana (African savanna elephant). It matches the Rfam family "tRNA", at positions 7 to 64 of the family's 71-position model. From Rfam's summary of the family: Transfer RNA (tRNA) molecules are approximately 80 nucleotides in length. Their secondary structure includes four short double-helical elements and three loops (D, anti-codon, and T loops). Further hydrogen bonds mediate the characteristic L-shaped molecular structure. tRNAs have two regions of fundamental functional importance: the anti-codon, which is responsible for specific mRNA codon recognition, and the 3' end, to which the tRNAs corresponding amino acid is attached (by aminoacyl-tRNA synthetases). tRNAs cope with the degeneracy of the genetic code in two manners: having more than one tRNA (with a specific anti-codon) for a particular amino acid; and 'wobble' base-pairing, i.e. permitting non-standard base-pairing at the 3rd anti-codon position. Lineage: Eukaryota; Metazoa; Chordata; Mammalia; Proboscidea; Elephantidae. The record is from Rfam by way of RNAcentral.
GUGGUGCAAACAGCACAUUUGGCUGCUAACCAAAAGGUUGGUGAUUCGAGUCCACUC